Molecule: long non-coding RNA, 97 nt
Organism: Neltuma alba
Lineage: Eukaryota; Viridiplantae; Streptophyta; Magnoliopsida; Fabales; Fabaceae
Exons: 3
Source: RefSeq, a predicted model, not a curated record
AGAGGAAGCGGGAGGCGACUAGUGUGACUCUCACACCUUUAUGAACCAAACGCUUUGACAGUUGAAGCAUAGGUUUAUCAACGGAAGAGAAGAAAAA